AGAGUUAAACAGUACGUGAAAUUGUUGAAAGGGAAACGAUUGAAGCCAGUCGUACCUUCGGGUAAUCAGCCUUUCGGGUGCGAUUCUGUGGAGUGUGAGGAGCUUAACACCUUCAUGCUUUGCAUAUUUGUGCUCUUGGGUGUACUUGCCCGUGUGGUUGGUUAACAUCAAUUUUGGUUAUCAUAAAAUGAUUGGAGGAAUGUAGCUUCGAUCUCGUAUUGAAGUGUUAUAGCCUUUGGUAGAUGUGAUGUUUGAGACCGAGGAUUGCAACGGAUACCCUUCAGGGCUAUUCGUCUGAUCUCUGAUACGUUGCCUUGAUGUUGAAAGCUUGCUUACGGUUAUCAAAGUCGAUGGUCAAUAGGUUAGAACGGGUUAAAUUCGUUAAGGAUGUUGACGUAAUGGCUUUAAACGACC
This 414-nucleotide ribosomal RNA is filed under the name uncultured fungus. Its description in RNAcentral is "eukaryotic LSU rRNA". The record is from RNAcentral. Lineage: Eukaryota; Fungi.